Molecule: ribosomal RNA, 242 nt
Filed under: Salmonella enterica subsp. enterica serovar Javiana
Lineage: Bacteria; Pseudomonadati; Pseudomonadota; Gammaproteobacteria; Enterobacterales; Enterobacteriaceae
Description: partial 23S ribosomal RNA
Rfam family: Bacterial large subunit ribosomal RNA
Source: RNAcentral
GAAACGGGUUAAUAUUCCCGUACUUGGUGUUACUGCGAAGGGGGGACGGAGAAGGCUAUGUUGGCCGGGCGACGGUUGUCCCGGUUUAAGCGUGUAGGUGUGUGUUCCAGGUAAAUCCGGUUCACUUUAACACUGAGGCGUGAUGACGAGGCACUACGGUGCUGAAGCAACAAAUGCCCUGCUUCCAGGAAAAGCCUCUAAGCAUCAGGUAACAUCAAAUCGUACCCCAAACCGACACAGGU